RNAcentral lists this ribosomal RNA (579 nucleotides) under Acremonium sclerotigenum. Its description in RNAcentral is "eukaryotic LSU rRNA". It matches the Rfam family "Eukaryotic large subunit ribosomal RNA", at positions 51 to 656 of the family's 3401-position model. Lineage: Eukaryota; Fungi; Ascomycota; Sordariomycetes; Hypocreales; Bionectriaceae. The record is from RNAcentral.
CGGAGGAAAAGAAACCAACAGGGAUUGCCCUAGUAACGGCGAGUGAAGCGGCAACAGCUCAAAUUUGAAAUCUGGCCUCACGGUCCGAAUUGUAAUUUGUAGAGGAUGUUUCUGGCGACGUGUCUUCCGAGUUCCCUGGAACGGGACGCCAUAGAGGGUGAGAGCCCCGUCCGGUCGUACACCUAGCCUCUGUGAAACUCCUUCGACGAGUCGAGUAGUUUGGGAAUGCUGCUCUAAAUGGGAGGUAUACGUCUUCUAAAGCUAAAUACCGGCCAGAGACCGAUAGCGCACAAGUAGAGUGAUCGAAAGAUGAAAAGCACUUUGAAAAGAGGGUUAAAUAGUACGUGAAAUUGCUGAAAGGGAAGCGCUUAUGACCAGACUUGGGCUCGGUGAAUCAUCCGGCGUUCUCGCCGGUGCACUUUGCCGUCCCAGGCCAGCAUCAGUUCGCGCCGGGGGAUAAAGGUUUCGGGAAUGUAGCUCCCUCGGGAGUGUUAUAGCCCGUUGCGUAAUACCCUGGCGUGGACUGAGGUCCGCGCUCUGCAAGGAUGCUGGCGUAAUGGUCAUCAGUGACCCGUCUUG